RNAcentral lists this ribosomal RNA (445 nucleotides) under uncultured bacterium. Its description in RNAcentral is "bacterial SSU rRNA". It matches the Rfam family "Bacterial small subunit ribosomal RNA", at positions 330 to 792 of the family's 1533-position model. The record is from RNAcentral.
UCCAGACUCCUACGGGAGGCAGCAGUGGGGAAUAUUGCACAAUGGGGGAAACCCUGAUGCAGCGACGCCGCGUGAAGGACGAAGUAUUUCGGUACGUAAACUUCUAUCAGCAGGGAAGAAGAUGACGGUACCUGACCAAGAAGCCCCGGCUAACUACGUGCCAGCAGCCGCGGUAAUACGUAGGGGGCAAGCGUUAUCCGGAUUUACUGGGUGUAAAGGGAGCGUAGACGGCCAUGCAAGUCUGAUGUGAAAACCCGGGGCUCAACCCCGGGACUGCAUUGGAAACUGUGCGGCUGGAGUGUCGGAGAGGCAAGUGGAAUUCCUAGUGUAGCGGUGAAAUGCUUAGAUAUCACGAAGAACCCCGAUUGCGAAGGCAGCCUGCCGCAGCGUUACUGACGCUGAAGCUCGAAAGCGCGGGUAUCGAACAGGAUUAGAUACCCCAGUA